GCAAUUGGUCUAGUGGUAUGAUUCUCGCUGUGAGUACUUGAAUUCUUCUAUCCUUGUUAUUCGACUAACAGUAAACAGUAGGGACUACUCUAAGUUAAAAAUGCGAGAGGCCCCAGGUUCGAACCCUGGAUUGCG
This is a non-coding RNA of Cladophialophora immunda, 135 nucleotides long. The record is from the annotation of a RefSeq genome assembly. Lineage: Eukaryota; Fungi; Ascomycota; Eurotiomycetes; Chaetothyriales; Herpotrichiellaceae.